This is a non-coding RNA of Schistosoma curassoni, 45 nucleotides long. NCBI's taxonomy places the organism in Eukaryota, Metazoa, Platyhelminthes, Trematoda, Strigeidida, Schistosomatidae. The record is from Rfam.
AUCCAGCUGAAGAGUCCCAAAUAGGACGAAAUGCGCAUCCUGGAU